RNAcentral lists this ribosomal RNA (459 nucleotides) under uncultured bacterium. RNAcentral's name for it is "partial 16S ribosomal RNA". It matches the Rfam family "Bacterial small subunit ribosomal RNA", at positions 338 to 795 of the family's 1533-position model. The record is from RNAcentral.
CCUACGGGUGGCAGCAGUGAGGAAUAUUGGUCAAUGGGCGCGAGCCUGAACCAGCCAAGUCGCGUGAGGGAAGACGGUCCUAUGGAUUGUAAACCUCUUUUGUCGGGGAGCAAAAGACGCCACGCGUGGCGUUCCGAGAGUACCCGAAGAAAAAGCAUCGGCAAACUCCGUGCCAGCAGCCGCGGUAAUACGGAGGAUGCGAGCGUUAUCCGGAUUUAUUGGGGUUAAGGGGUGCGGGGGCGGAAGAUCAAGUCAGCGGUAAAAUUGAGGGGCUCAACCUCUUCGGGCCGUUGAAACUGGUUGUCUUGAGUGAGCUAGAAGUAUGCGGAAUGCGUGGUGUAGCGGUGAAAUGCAUAGAUAUCACGCAGAACUCCGAUUGCGAAGGCAGCAUACCGGCGCUCAACUGACGCUCAUGCACGAAAGUGUGGGUAUCGAACAGGAUUAGAUACCCUAGUAGUC